Leptinotarsa decemlineata (Colorado potato beetle) is the source of this 449-nucleotide long non-coding RNA. Lineage: Eukaryota; Metazoa; Arthropoda; Insecta; Coleoptera; Chrysomelidae. The record is from RefSeq and is a predicted model, not a curated record.
UGAUCGGGUAAGGACUAUAUUGCUGCAACCCUCCAAACAUCGCGUUUUAAUCCUUGUGGUGCACUCAGUUGCGAACAGUUCGCGCCAAUUUUGGUGGUGGAGCGAUUAUACGAAAAUUGAGCGAAAACCACUUCUAUAUUGAAUCUGACAUCGUUCUCUACAAAAUGUGCCAAAUUUGCUUGGUAGACAAUACGGACUUUGAGAAGCAGUCAGCGUAAAUAAAUGUGCUUUGGUUCCACCUCAUAAAGUGUGUCUGGAUUGUCUUUCUGAGACCAUAGUGAUCAUUAACUUAUUUGAAGUGCGGCGUAUUUCACUGAAAUGAAAAUGUGGUCGUUGGUGAUAAUAUUUCCAGCGUUCUUGUUACAAGAAUUUCGCGAUACACAAAAGUCUUGGAGAAUCAUUGCUAACUCUUCAUUGUAUUCUGUUUAAUUGCAAUCGAUUCAAACUCA